UUUUUUUUGGAACUUCAAUUUUAUGUACGCUAGACUGCUUAACAUUAUUCACACAGGUUACUGAAGAUGUGUUAAUCUUUUUUCAGUCUUUUACUAUCUGUUCUUUAGCUUGUAUACUUUUUAUUGCUCUGUCUUCAAGUUAACUAAUUCUUUCUGUGCUGUGUCUCAUUUGUUAAUAAUUCAUCCAGUGACUUUUAAGUUUCUGGUAUAGUUUUUAAGUGUUAGAAUUUCUAUAUUUUAAGGGUCUCAAUUUCUCUUCUGAGAUUUCCCAUUCAUCCUUUUGUUUUAAUUAUGACUACCCCCCACUUUAAAGUUAGUCAACGUAUUUUGUCAUUUUUUCUGCUAAAUUAAAAAAAAAACAACUAAGUAAUCCCAGGGUCUAUUUCAAUAGAUUUUUUUUCCUCUUGACUAUGCAUCCCAGUUUUCUGGGUUUUAAAAUAUGUGUCUUAUAAUUUUAAUGAACACAGUAGAUGAUACUUUACAGAGAUAAUAUGUUCUGUUAUGCUCCUCUGUAGAAUUAUUUUUGUUAUAGAAGGUUGAUUAUCUUGAACUUGUGGUAUUCUUAUCUUACUCUUAUAAGAAUGUCUUGCUUUGUUCGCAGAAAAAUCUCUCAGUUCUGGAUCAUACCAUUUACUUCUGAGGUAUGGCUGUUUUUGAGUUUCAGUGGAAGACUCUGACGUUUCAAAUACCAAGGCUCUUUACGUUGUUGGGACCCAAUUUGUUCUCCUCUAUGUUCCAGAUGAGCACACCUUCCAGUCCGUCUGCUGCCAACACCACCUAUAGGGGUCCCACAGUAGCCAUUUUCAUUGGGCUAAACAGCAUAAAGAGGCUAUUGUCGGAGAGCAGAUGCAGGAAAAGAUUUUGCCAAAUGGCAUAUUCUAAGGUGAGCAGGUUUUCACAAAUGGAGCAUUAAUCACAAUCCUCUGAUACUACCAAUUAUGGAAGCAGACCAAGAAUAAACCUGCAAAUGAGAAGAGCCCUUUCCUCCCUUCUCAGAUUAAGAAGGCAAACAUAUUGGAAAUGCAAAAGGAAAACAGAUUUGCUGAAAGAUAGACAUCUUGAGCAGAAAAAGCUUCACUCUUUAAAAAUUAAUAACAAACAUUUUCUUAUUUUUUUUUAACUGGAUGAAUUGUCAGCAUAAAUGCCUUUGAAGGUAUAACUGCAUUAAUUUGUUACCUUAUAUAUAUUUAUUUUAUGGCAUUAUGUAGAACCUUGCUAUCUAAAGUCCAGUUCUAUGAACUAGUAACAUCAGAAUUAUUGAGAGCUUGUUAAAAAUGCAGAAUUGCUAAAGAUUCACUUGGCUAUUUGGUUUUUUGGGGGGUUCCAUAUGAAUUUUAGAAUUUUUUUUCUAUUUCUGUAAAAAUGUUAUUUGAAUUUUGAUAGAGAUUGCAUUGAAUUUAUAGAUUGCUUUAGUUAGAAUGGACACUUUAAUAAUAUUUAUUCUUAAAAAAUAAAAUAGAACUAUCAUAUGGUCCAGCAAUUCCACUUCUGUAUAUAUAGCUAGAGGAAAUAGAAUCAACAUGUUGAAAAAAUAUCUGCACUCUCAUGUUAUUGCAGCAUUAUUCAUAAUAACCAAAAUAUGGAAUUAAACUAAGUGUUCAUCAGUAGAUGAAUGGAUAAAGAAAAUGUGGUAUAUAUACACAAUGGAAUACUAUUCAGCCUUAAAAAAAGAAAAAAAAAUCCAGUCAUUUGUGGCACAUAGAUGAGCCUGGAGGGCAUUAUGUUAAGUGAAAUAAGCCAGACACAGGAAGACAAAUACUGUAUGAUCUCACUUAUAUGUGGAAUCUUAAAAAGUUGAUCUCAUAGAAGUAGAGAGUAGACCGAUGGUUACCAAGGGCUGAGGGUGAGAGUAAAGGAGAUAGAGAAUGGGGAGACGUUGGCUGAAGGGAUCAAAUUUUCACUUCAAUAGGAGAAAUAAGUUCUGGAGAUUGACUGUACAGCAUGGUGACUACAGUCAAUACUAAUGUAUUGUAUAGUUGAAAAUUGCUAAGAGUAAAUUUUUUUGUUUGUUUUUUGAGACAGGGCUUCACUCUGUCACCUAGGCUGAAGUGCAGUGGCAUGAUCUUGGCUCACUGCAGCCUCGACCUCCUGGGCUCAAGUGAUCCCACCUCAGCCUCUCUAGUAGUUAGAACUACAGGCACAUGCCACCAUGCCCACCUAAUUUUUUUUUUUUUUUGUAUUUUUAGUAGAGACAGAGUCUCCAUGUUGUCCAGGCUGGUCUCAAAUUCCUGGGAUCAAGGAACCCAUCCACCUUGGCCUCCCAAAAUGCUGAGAUUACAGACAUCAGUCAAUGCGCCUGGUACUAAGAGUAGAUUUUAAAUGUUCUCAUCAUAAAAAAUGAUAAGUGUGUGAGGUUAUGGGUAUAUUAACCAGCUUGAUUAAUCAUUUCACAGUGUAUACAUAUAUAUCAAAAUAUGUUGUACACCAUGAAUAUACAAUUUUUCAUUUCAAUUAAAACUAUAAUAAAAGUGCAGAACCAUGGGCCCCUUCUCAUAUCUGUUAUGAGAAUCUGCAUUUUACUCAGAAGAUUUGUAUUAAAGUGUGAAAUGCACUACUCUAGAAUUUAAGCUUCUAGAGGGCAGGCAUGUCACAUCUUUCUGUGUUCAUCCAUAUCAUGUAGCACCUGCUAGUAAUGGGAAUCACUCAACAUGCUGGGCACAUGAAGAAUGUUUGUUUACCAUGCUAUUUAACUUUAAAUAUAGUACUGUUGCAUGGAAUUGGUGUUAUUGCUUAGGGAAUUUCAAGUAGAAGAAAAUAUACUAUGUGUUCGCCAGAAAAUAGUGCAUAAAAAUCUAAAUUUCUCAGCUGUCCUUGCAAAAAUCAAGGCCAUGCCCUGAGUCUAACUAGCCAACAGGGUCCAGAUAGAAUUCACAGUCACAGGAUUUCCUGUGCACUCAUUAGGACUGAUUACACAAUUCGUGAGACCUAGAGUAAGAUAAAAUGUGAGGCUUCUUUGUCCAAAACUAACAACUUCAAGAUGGUGACAGCAGAGCAACAAACCAAAAAAAAAGUCUCUUCUCAGCAAGAAAUGAAUGGGUGGGGGCAGUGCUACAGUGUUCUGGUGUCACGCUUAUCAACCAGUGCCAGCUGCACUCUAGCACCUCCCUUCCCUGGCCCUGGCAACUCCUGAAACCAUGUGUGAGAUGGUAGCAUGGUAAGGUGCUAGAGUCUUGGUCAGUCUAUGUCCCUGAGUGACCACGGGGAGCAGAGCCCCUGCUAACACUCUUUAUAUAGUAAAUGAGAAAUACUUUAGUUUCUGCAAACCACUGAGAUUUCAGAAUUCAUUUGUCACCUUCUUGUCAUCUGGCCCGAUUUUACUUAUACAUCAGAAUUGUUGCCAAUCAUACAUGAAUCAAAUUGAGAGGAAGAGAUUGAAAGACAACUGGGAGACUGAGGAAGCAAAUAUGAAGAGUUGGUAUGGAGAACAGAACUGAAAUAUUCAGGCUUGUAACAGAAAAAUAUUCAAGGGAAGAUUGGAAUUUUUAUUUAGAGAAAGUUAAAAAAGGGAGAUGAGAGAAACUUCCACCUGAUGUCUACCUUUUUUCUUAAUUAAUGUGAAAUAACCAAAACACCUGAUAACCAUGGAAAGUGAGCUUAAGAGUUUACGAAGAUGCAUUUUGAAAUAACUACUGUGGAAAACCUUCUAAGAGACCACCAGGAGAUGAAUAAGAGGAUAUGUACCAAAAAGAUCAAGAUGAAUUAACCUUUGGGUGAAGUUGAGUAACCCAACUGUUGGAGCCAGAGGGGAUGGAAGGAAGAUGUGGCCUGAUAUCAUGAACUAAAAAGGUAGUUUGAGUUAAAUUUUAAAGAGUAUCAUCAUUUUGUAAUUGAGAACUGAUUUUUCUGUUAAUAUAAAUCAUGACCAUUUUGACAGUUUCAAGUAGGUUUAAAAAGUCAUACAUGGUGAUUGUCACUUGGGAAAGGGCAUCUGGCCACUUAGAAAGGUCUCCAAAGGUGGCAUUUUCUUUGAUAAAAUUACCACAGUGCAAAUAAUGAUUGUUAUCCCUGAAAACUCAAAAGUCUGAUAUUGUAAGGAAAAAUCGAAAUGUCUAGCAGACUAAGAUAGAGUAAUCACAUUCUCUCCCUCUAUCCAAACUGCAUAGGAAGCUAAUUUAAAACUGUAUUGAUAAUUGACUAUAUUUGCCCCAAAGAAAUGAAGAUAAUUGCAGACACUUAUUAAGUGUUCCCUAUGUGCCUGAUACCCUUCUAAAUGCUUUACAUUUAUUUCUUGAAAUCUCACAACAACCAUGAAAGCAGAAUUCUUGUUGUCUUCAUUUUCUCAGGUAAGAAUAGAGACAGACUAACUUGUCCAAGGCUGCAUAAGUAAUAAAUAGUCUAUGAUUUCAAAUGUUUAUGAUUUCAAAUGUUUGUCCUUCCUGUGGCAUUGGGGUUAACAGAAGUAGUCUGAUAUCAUACCAUUAGCAAAAACAGACUACUCCAGUUGGUCCAGUCAGCUUAGCCUAUCACUUUAGGUAAGCUACAAGGGAAGCCGUUUUCUUAUAAGGCUGCUUGGAGAGGCAGAAUAACUUCAUGGUUAAGGUGUGGGUGUUGGAGUCAUAUUUCUUGGGAUCACACUUUUGCUCCACCAACUUCAUCUUCCAUAACUUGUGCAAAUUACUGAACCUUUUUUUGUUCCCUAACUGUAAAACAUGGAUCCCAUAGAGUAGUUGUAAAGAUAAGUGAGAUAGGAAGACUGAACAUAGCACUUGGCAUGUUAAGAACUCAGUCAAUGUUAGCUAUUGUUGUUAGUGGGAGUAGAAUCAAAUAAAAGGGAAUUUUUGAUUAUUUUAUUAGGCCCAUCUUAUAAUAUUUUCAGCAAAUACUUUCUUUAAAUAUUUG
RNAcentral lists this long non-coding RNA (4839 nucleotides) under Pan troglodytes (chimpanzee). RNAcentral describes it as "lncRNA (ENSPTRG00000053502.1)". Lineage: Eukaryota; Metazoa; Chordata; Mammalia; Primates; Hominidae. The record is from RNAcentral.